This 169-nucleotide ribosomal RNA is filed under the name uncultured bacterium. Its description in RNAcentral is "partial 16S ribosomal RNA". It matches the Rfam family "Bacterial small subunit ribosomal RNA", at positions 338 to 524 of the family's 1533-position model. The record is from RNAcentral.
CCUACGGGAGGCAGCAGUGGGGAAUAUUGCACAAUGGGGGAAACCCUGAUGCAGCAACGCCGCGUGAGUGAUGACGGUCUUCGGAUUGUAAAGCUCUGUCUUUAGGGACGAUAAUGACGGUACCUAAGGAGGAAGCCACGGCUAACUACGUGCCAGCCGCCGCGGUAAU